Molecule: unclassified non-coding RNA, 286 nt
Organism: Mesocricetus auratus (golden hamster)
Lineage: Eukaryota; Metazoa; Chordata; Mammalia; Rodentia; Cricetidae
Rfam family: Metazoan signal recognition particle RNA
About the family: The signal recognition particle (SRP) is a universally conserved ribonucleoprotein. It is involved in the co-translational targeting of proteins to membranes. The eukaryotic SRP consists of a 300-nucleotide 7S RNA and six proteins: SRPs 72, 68, 54, 19, 14, and 9.
Source: Ensembl
GCCGGGCGCGGUGGCGCACGCCUGUAGUCCCAGCUACUCGGGAGGCUGAGACAGGAGGAUCGCUUGAGUCCAGGAGUUCUGGGCUGUAGUGCGCUAUGCCGAUCGGGUGUCCGCACUAAGUUCGGCAUCAAUAUGGUGACCUCCCGGGAGCGGGGGGGCCACCAGGUUGCCUAAGGAGGGGUGAACCGGCCCAGGUCGGAACUCCCAUGCUGAUCAGAGGUCCUGAGUUCAAUUCCCAGCAACCACAUGGUGGCUCACAACUAUCUAUAAUGAGAUCUGGUGCCCU